UAUAAAACUGGGUUUGUCGUUUCAGAAUUCCAGAAGCUGUGGAGGAGCAUUCCCGUGGAUUCUAUGGAUGAGGAGAAGAUAGAGGAGUAUCUGAAACGACAGGGUAUUUCUUCCAUGCAAGAAACCGGACCAAAGAAAAUAGCCCCCAUUCAGAGGAGGAAGAAACCUGCUUCUCAGAAGAAACGCCGGUUUAAGACUCACAAUGACCACUUGGUUGGAGUAUUAAAAGAUUACUCUGAUGUGGUUCCUGGCAAGCAGUGAGCGGUUGAGUUCAGGAGCAAACGCGCGUUUCUAGACGGGCUUGCUGCUGCUGGGGCUCGGUGUCUGCUCGCAGAAGGACUGACUGUAUAUAAUAAUGUGAUGUGUUUCCCCCACCCCAGCAACUGCCGAGGUGAAACAGGUCAGUUUAAGAGCGAGUGUGAGCUACUAAAUUUAGAGGUUAAUUUAAUUAGCUAAUGGGAAACGUUUCUUUGAGUAAGAGGUUCUCACUAGUUGCCUGUUGGCAUAGGGUGAUAAAUGGUGCUCAGCAUGUAAUGCAGGAAUUCCUGCUCAGUGCUUAACUCUGCUUUUACAUUGCUUAAUGGGUAUUUACCUGGAAUUACUUACAAGGGGCUUUCUAGUGGGAUUGAAUUCAGCAUUUGUUUUACCUGUUUCAGGAAAACCUUUUCCUAAAAUCACUGCAGGCAAAGUUUCUUUCACAGUCAAAUACACCCCCGGUUUGUAAGCUUCUUCCUUGCCAUGGGACUGAGCUUUACUGAAAGGCGGUGAUAUCUGAGACUCUCCCUAAAAUCCCAGCAGGCAGGCUGUGGGAUGGGAUGCAGCCAGAGCCUUCCUAAUGUUAAUUAGGAAUUGCCCUUGGCGAUGUCUCCUCACUGUUGUGGGUACAAGUGUGUUGCACGUUCUGCUCUGUGCACAGGAGGGAAAUAAAACGACGGUGUAAUAGUGUUUUGGGUUUUUUUUCCUUUUAAGUAAUAAAUUUUCAAUGCAGGUUUC
Molecule: non-coding RNA, 993 nt
Organism: Cyanistes caeruleus (blue tit)
Lineage: Eukaryota; Metazoa; Chordata; Aves; Passeriformes; Paridae
Source: RefSeq, a predicted model, not a curated record